AGGGAUCAUUACUGAGUUACCGCUCUAUAACCCUUUGUGAACAUACCUAACCGUUGCUUCGGCGGGCAGGGGAAGCCUCUCGCGGGCCUCCCCUCCCGGCGCCGGCCCCCACCACGGGGACGGGGCGCCCGCCGGAGGAAACCAAACUCUAUUUACACGACGUCUCUUCUGAGUGGCACAAGCAAAUAAUUAAAACUUUUAACAACGGAUCUCUUGGUUCUGGCAUCGAUGAAGAACGCAGCGAAAUGCGAUAAGUAAUGUGAAUUGCAGGAUUCAGUGAAUCAUCGAAUCUUUGAACGCACAUUGCGCUCGCCAGCAUUCUGGCGAGCAUGCCUGUUCGAGCGUCAUUUCAACCCUCAAGCACCGCUUGGUUUUGGGGCCCCACGGCACACGUGGGCCCUUAAAGGUAGUGGCGGACCCUCCCGGAGCCUCCUUUGCGUAGUAACUAACGUCUCGCACUGGGAUCCGGAGGGACUCUUGCCGUAAAACCCCCAAAUUUUUUACAGGUUGACCUCGGAUCAGGUAGGAAUACCCGCUGAA
This 540-nucleotide ribosomal RNA is filed under the name Colletotrichum scovillei. RNAcentral's name for it is "eukaryotic LSU rRNA". The stretch from base 194 to 347 matches the Rfam family "5.8S ribosomal RNA". The record is from RNAcentral. Lineage: Eukaryota; Fungi; Ascomycota; Sordariomycetes; Glomerellales; Glomerellaceae.